GAAAAGAGUUUUUCUUGACUCUAUUUAUGCAAGAAAUUCUUGCUGGCCACAGAAUGAAUACAGCAACACCACCAUAUCGUCAGACCACUUCAACAAAGAAUCACACAAUUGAGAGAAUUUGGCCUGAAAUAAACAACAGGGUUAAUUACCCUUUGAAGGAGGCUCUUGUUCAGCUGGUCGACCAAGAACUGAUUGAUAUGGACUGCAACCUAACAUAAUACUGUGUGUCUAACCUUGUCUGUCAGCUGUGUCAUCUGGGCAUUAGCAGGGUAGUAGAGGCAUGGAACAACCACAGGAUUCCUGGAAAAGGAAUCCCCUACCAGAUUGCACAGGGUGGUUGUGCAAAAAAAAUCUCAGCAGCACUACUGCCUCAUGGAACUGAAGCAGCUGAUCUGUACAUGAACACACUGGGAUCAUCUUUGACAAGGGUUUCGGCCUUU
This is a long non-coding RNA of Triplophysa dalaica, 440 nucleotides long. RefSeq lists it as uncharacterized. Lineage: Eukaryota; Metazoa; Chordata; Actinopteri; Cypriniformes; Nemacheilidae. The record is from RefSeq and is a predicted model, not a curated record. The transcript is spliced from 3 exons.